This 253-nucleotide ribosomal RNA is filed under the name uncultured bacterium. RNAcentral describes it as "partial 16S ribosomal RNA". It matches the Rfam family "Bacterial small subunit ribosomal RNA", at positions 524 to 776 of the family's 1533-position model. The record is from RNAcentral.
UACGUAGGGUGCAAGCGUUAGUCGGAAUUACUGGGCGUAAAGCGUGCGCAGGCGGUUGUGCAAGACCGAUGUGAAAUCCCCGGGCUUAACCUGGGAAUGGCAUUGGUGACUGCACGGCUAGAGUGUGUCAGAGGGGGGUAGAAUUCCACGUGUAGCAGUGAAAUGCGUAGAGAUGUGGAGGAAUACCGAUGGCGAAGGCAGCCCCCUGGGUUAACACUGACGCUCAUGCACGAAAGCGUGGGGAGCAAACAGG